AAACAGAGAAAGUCGUGGUCAAAGGUUUGGGUGGACUUUGAUAAGUUUGAAGAACAUGGAAAACAAGUAGCCAAAUGUAAACACUGCCUCAAGGUGUUUACAGGGUCAAGUAAGAGUGGAACCACACACUUGAAUAACCACUCGAAAGUAUGUCCUGGUAAGAAAAAACAAAAUCAAGAAAGCCAGUUGAUACUUCCAGUUGAUACCAAUGAAAGAAGCUCAACGUUUGAUCAAGAAAGGAGUCACUUGGAUCUUGUGAAAAUGGUUAUUAAGCAUCAGUAUCCAUUAGCUUUGGUUGGUCAAGAAGCCUUCAAGAAUUUUGUGAAAGGUUUGCAGCCGAUGUUUGAGUUUCAAUCAAGAGAUAAAUUGUUAUCUGACUUCUAUAAGGAAAAGAAAAGAGAAGUUCGACAGGGUUUUGAUAAACUUGCUUGUAAGUUCAAUUUGAGAGUCACUUUGUGGAAGAAUGGUCUUGGAAAGACUGCAUAUUGUUGCCUGAUAGCACAAUUUAUUGAUGAUGAUUGGAAACUGAAGAUGAAGAUUCUUGCCUUCAAAACUUUGAAGCAUAUAUAUGACACAAAGGCUUUAAGUGAAAUUAUCCAGAGAUCAGUUUCAGAAUGGAAUCUAGAUGAGAAAAUAUAUUCCAUAACUAUGGAUGACCCUUCUUUGAACAAGGAAAUGUUUCAGCAAAUAAAAGAAACUUGUGUUCGUGAUCAAGGCUCGCUUUCUUCAGCUCAUUGGUUCAUUAGUUGCAAUUUUCUUGAGGAUGGGUCUCGUGAGAUGUAUAGUAUACUUCAUAAGUUUAGGGAAUCCAUUGAAUAUGUCACUGAAACAACAGAUGGGAGACUAAAAUUCCAAGAAGCUGUAGAUCAAGUGAAGCUACAAGGUGGGAAAUCAUUGGAUGAUCUUGUUGGAUAAAAUGGCAGUAACAAAGAAAGCAAAAACGAAUGAAAGAGAAAAAAAACAAAGAAGAGAACUCAGCAAGAAAAUUUUGCAACUGAAGUCAUAUAUUUUUCAUUCAAAUUUUUGAAUAUAUGGGAGUUACAAGUAAUGUUUGACAGUUACCUACUAACUUAACUGCCCUUACUUAAUACAUACUAAAAUAAUGCAAGUUGAUUACAAAAGAAGGCUGGCAUACCAGCUAUUACAUCAGUCAAUUUUCCUACUGACUUUGCUGUCAAAAUACAAAAAAAUUGAACAAAGUUCCAUAGGAACAAAACAUCUAAAAUGUGAUCUUCCAGGAGAACCAGCUUCAUUACUUUACUUCAAAAUAGUGUAGCAGCUCAAAUUAUACAAUUCGUUGCUGCUGGUCUUUGAUCAAUUUUCUGCUACUGGUUCUUUGUUGCAAUGCAGGCCACGACUUCAACACUCCUCCUUGGUCUGUAUGCAACAAACACCAAUCCUUUCCUUCAAAGCAUUAAAUCGGUUGGCUCCCAAUGGUUUAGUUAAAAUGUCAGCCAGUUGAAUUUCUGAACUGCAAUGAACUAAGCUAACCUCCCUCGAUUGCUCAGCUUCUCUAACAAAAUGAAAUUUGAUUUUGAAGUGUUUAGUCUUACCAUGGAAGACUGGAUUUUUGGCUAUGGCCACAGCUGAUUGAUUAUCCACUCUAAUCUCAGUAGGCUGAACUUGACUUUCAUUCAAAUCAUCCAAAAUCUUCCUAAGCCAAAUGGCUUGGUUCACAGCUGCUGCAGCUGAGAUAUACUCAGCCUCUGUUGUAGAUUGUGCAACAGUUUGUUGCUUCUUGGAACUCCAGCUGAAAACACUCGAGCCUAAGGUGAAAAAAUAACCUGAAGUGCUCCUCAUGUCAUCAACUGACCCUGCCCAAUCGCUAUCAGAAUAGCCUACGAGUUUCAGCUCCCUUGCCCUCCAAAACUUCACACCAGUAUCGAUGGUUCCUUUGACAUACCUUAACACUCUUUUUGCUGCCUUCAGAUGUGCCACAUUACUGCAGUGCAUAAACCUUGAAAGUAGACUAACAGCAUAGACAAUGUCUGGUCUAGUUGCUGUUAAAUAAAGCAAACAACCAAUUAAGCUUCUAUAUGCCUUCUCAUCUACUCGAUCAUGUUCACUGGCACUUGACAAUUUUUCUCCCAAUGCAACUGGUGUAGUGACUGAUUUGCAUUUCAACAUGCAAAAUUUUUCAAGCACCUUGAAAGCAAAUGUUUGCUGACUUAUGAAAAUGCCAUCACUUCCUUGUUUUAUCUCCAUGCCAAGAAAGUAGGUCAUCAGACCAAGGUCAGUCAUCUCAAAGACAUGUUGCAUCUGUUUCUUGAAGUCUUCAAUAAGUUCAUCUUUGCAGCCAAUAACCAACAGAUCAUCAACAUACAAGGAAACAAUUAAUAAGGUUUCCUCCUGAUCCUUCUUAACAUAGAGUGUAGGCUCACUGAUACUCUUUGUGAACCCGAGCCUUGCUAAGUAGCCAUCAAUCCUCUCAUACCAGGCCCUUGGAGCCUGUUUUAGACCAUACAAGGCCUUUUUCAGCUUGUAGACUUUCUGUUCUUCACCAGUGACCAUAAAACCCUCAGGUUGCUCAAUGAAUAUUUCUUCAUUAAGAAAGCCAUUUAGAAAGGCUGACUUAACAUCCAGAUGAUGCACCUUCCAAUGCUUUUGAGCUGCCAAAGCUAGCAGCAAUCUGAUAGUAUCCAACCUUGCAACAGGUGCAAAGGUUUCAGAAAAAUCAACCCCUUGCUGCUGACUAUAACCUUUAACAACCAGUCUGGCCUUAUGUCUAUUAAGAGAGCCAUCUGCAUUGUUCUUAAUUCUAUAGACCCACUUUACACCUAUAAUUUUUCUGUUUUCAGGUCUGUUUACAAGCUCCCAUGUAUCAUUUUUUUGAAUCAUUUUAAAUUCAGCUUCCAUAGCAUCCUGCCAGCAUUUUUCUUUUGCAGCUUCUUCAAAACAUGAAGGCUCUACUAUAGUUACUGUACAUCUCUCAUAGAUGUCAGUUAAUGUCUUGGUGCCUCGAACAGGUUGAUCAUCAUAGCCAUUUUCAAUUACUUCUUCAUUUUCAGCUUGCUGCAGAUCAACAUCAAUCUCUUCUCCAUCUGGCAAAUUUGCUUCAAUUUCAUCCCAUUUCCAGCUACUUGCUUCACUGAAUUUCACAUCUCUGCUCACUACAACCUUCUUGGUCAGUGGAUCAAAGACUCUGUAUCCUUUCUUCACAUUGCUGUAGCCAACAAACACCCCAGGCAUGGACCUCCUGUCCAACUUGGUUCUUCUCUCCUCAGGUACCAACACAUAACAUAGACAGCCAAAUACCUUCAAAUGAGAGACAGAUGGUUUCUGUGCAAACCAGGCUUCAAAGGGAGUUUUUCCUUUGACUGCAUUAGUUGGCAACCUAUUCAACAGGUAAAUAGCUGUAUUCACAGCUUCAGCCCAAAAAACAUUAGGCAUUUUAGCCUCAAAUAACAAACACCUAGCCAUAUCAAGGACUGUUCUGUUUUUCCUUUCACAAACACCAUUUUGCUGUGGUGUGUACACAGUAGUCAAUUGGUGUUGAAUUCCAGCAUCAUCACACAAUUUUUGAAACUUCUGAGAUACAUACUCAGAACCAUUGUCAGACCUCAAACAUUUUAGUUUGCAAUUUGCUUGGUUUUCGACCAAGGCUUUAAAUUUGCAGAAAGAGUCAUAAACAUCUGACUUAUGCUUCAAAAAAUUUACCCAACAGAACCUUGAAUAAUCAUCAAUGAAGAGUACAAAGUACCUGCUGCCAUUUAAGGAGGUAGUCUUCAUUGGUCCACAGAUGUCUGUAUGAAUAAGCUGAAGCUUCCCUUGUGCUCUCCAUGCCUUGUUUACUGGAAAGGGUAAUCUGGUCUGUUUGCCUAGCUGACAGACCUCACAUACAGCAUCCUUUGGCUCAAUUUUGGACAUAUCACUGACCAAAUCCAUUUUGUGCAGCAUGCUCAGUGAAUUGUAGUUCACAUGCCCCAUCCUCCUGUGCCACAAGUCUGUCUCAUCAGACUGAGAUGCGUAUGCCUUGGCUCGCAGUUGAUUCACAUCCACAAUGAAGGUUCUGUCUUGCAUAGCCACUGUAGUCAACACUUCACCAGCAGUAUUUUUGAUCAAAUAGUUUUUGCCUUCAAAAAUCAAAGAGUAACCCUUCUCCAAUAGCUGGCCAACACUUAGCAAGUUUUGGUCAAUGUCAGGUACAUAGAGAACCUCUGAAAUGGUUUUAAUACCUGACUUAGUGCUUAUCAAAGCCUUGCCUUUCCCUUUUGCCUCCAGUAGCUCACCAUUGCCAAUUCUGACUUUGGACUUGAAGGUAGUGUCAAGCUCCUUGAAUAUACUCUUCUCAGAAGCCAUAUGGUGGGUACAUCCACUGUCAAUCAACCAUAUUUUACUAACUUUGCUCGAGCUUGCAAAGCAUGAUGCUGAAAAGACAUGCUCUUCUGGUGAUUCAACCUCUUCUGCAGCUUGAGCUUGGCUUUGAAAUUGUGGUUGUGGUUUUGGCUUGCUCUUACAGACCUUUUCAAUGUGGCCAAAUUGCUUGCAGGCUCUACAUUGAAUGUCUGGUCUGUACCAGCAGUAUUUCUCAAGAUGAAUAGUCUUAUUGCAAUGGACACAAGGUGAGAACUUCCUUUUGACAGGUUCUUUCUUCUUCUUCUCAGUUCAGGGCUUCUUGCCUUUGGCAUUUAAGUUUGCACUUGAGCUUUCUCUACUUCUAGCCUGAAAAGCUCCUUCAUAGUGGUCCUCCUGCCUAUUUGCCCUUCUCUGCUCUUGAGCAUAGAGAGCAUUUAUAAGCUCUGUCAAAGGGAUUGUUGACAAGUCCCUUGAAUCUUCCAGAGAAGAAAUUUUUGCUUCAUACUUCUCUGGCAAGGUUGUUAUGACCUUCUCAACCACUCUUUGGUCACUGAAUUCUUCUCCAAGCAGCCUUAUGUUGUUGACAGUAGCCAUGAUUCUGUCAGCAUACUGCUUGAUGGUUUCUGAGUCCUUCAUUUUGAGAUUUUCAAAAUCUCUUCUCAUGUUGAUCAGCUGCUGUUGCCUGGUCUUGUCAGACCCCUGAAACUCCUCCUUGAGUUUGUCCCAGGCCUGCUUUGGAGUGUCACAAGCCAUUAUUCUUGUGAAAAUAACAUCAGAAACUCCACUUUGAAGGCACGACAUAGCCUUAUACUUCUUGGCACAGUCUUCAUUGUGCUGCCUAAUCUGGGCUAUAGUCGGGUUGGCUCUUAGUGGUGAUGGCUCAGUGUCAUUAAGAACAACAUUCCACAGGUCGUGUGCCUGCAGGUAUGUUCUCAUUUUCACUGCCCAGAUGUUGUAAUUUUCUCCAGCAAAGACAGGUGGAGGAGGUGGUGUAAAACUCAUUUUUCAGCAAGCAAAACAACCUCUUCUUCUUUUGUUUCAAACACGAUUUGCUUAGUGACAGUGUACAACAAAGGCCCUCAAAGACUGAAAGCUCUUGAUACCAUUUGUUGGAUAAAAUGGCAGUAACAAAGAAAGCAAAAACGAAUGAAAGAGAAAAAAAACAAAGAAGAGAACUCAGCAAGAAAAUUUUGCAACUGAAGUCAUAUAUUUUUCAUUCAAAUUUUUGAAUAUAUGGGAGUUACAAGUAAUGUUUGACAGUUACCUACUAACUUAACUGCCCUUACUUAAUACAUACUAAAAUAAUGCAAGUUGAUUACAAAAGAAGGCUGGCAUACCAGCUAUUACAUCAGUCAAUUUUCCUACUGACUUUGCUGUCAAAAUACAAAAAAAUUGAACAAAGUUCCAUAGGAACAAAACAUCUAAAAUGUGAUCUUCCAGGAGAACCAGCUUCAUUACUUUACUUCAAAAUAGUGUAGCAGCUCAAAUUAUACAAUUCGUUGCUGCUGGUCUUUGAUCAAUUUUCUGCUACUGGUUCUUUGUUGCAAUGUAGGCCACGGCUUCAACAGAUCUUUCUUUCAAGUUGGAAUCAGAAUUUGACAUACUUACUAGUGCUUUGAAAUCAAGAGAAAUCUUUUGUCAGUUGGAGCAAAUUGAUGGCAAUUUUAAGCUAAACCCAUCAAUGGAGGAAUGGGAGAAGGCCAUAGCUCUAAAGAGUUGUUUGAAAUGUUUUAAUAAUAUCAAAGGAACUCAAUCCAUUACUGUAAGUUUGUACUUUCCAAUGCUUUGUGACAUAUACAAGAAAUUUCUUCAACUGGAAAAAAGCAAUCAUUCAUUUCUUACAUUGAUGAAGAGGAAAUUUGAUCGCUAUUGGAGCUUAUGUAAUUUGGAAUUAGCUGUUGCAGCUGUUCUUGAUCCAAGGUUAAAAUUUAAAAUUGUGGAGCUCUCAUAUAAUGUGAUUUAUGGCCAUGACAAUAAGAUGCAACUGAACCGGUUUUAUAAAGUUCUUACAGAUGUUUACUGUAAAUAUACCAAUGGAGCUAGAAAUUCGAUUGCAUCCACUUCAAUAUUGGGUGAUUCCAAUUCUUUGACAACAGAGACUGCAAAUGAUUGUAUUUUGGACUCCUUCAAUAACUUUUUACCCUCAUAGAAGUCAGAGCUUGAGGAUUACUUAGGUGAGUCAGAGCCUGCACUUCCCUUAGAUGGAGACAUACUUGGUUGGUGGCGUGUCAAUUCCCUAAGGCUCCCUACUCUUGCAAAGAUGGCUCGUGAUCACCUUGCAAUGUUGGUAUCAGUUUCGAUGCCAUGUUCGGUUGUUAGUGCCAUGAUCACACAUUCAAGCUACAAUAGCUUGGACCCUGAUAGCAUGGAAGCUUUGGUAUGCAGUCAAAAUUGGUUGGAAACUCUUAAAGAAAGUAAGUCAUAACUCUUAAUUUGUUUAUCUGCUUUCAUUUGAUCUUCUACACUUCACUGAGAGAGUCCAAUAUAUUUUUUAAAGCUGCAUUAUUCAUCACUUAACUAAGUUCAUUUACUAUCACAGAUGAGGGAGAAAAUCAUGAACUUACACAAAAUACGGUAGGCAGUGUACAUGAAUUAUGAUUAGAAGCUAUCUCCAUUGAAUCUUUUUUUCAUACACCAUGAAGACUGAACUCCCUUGAUGCAUUUUCAUUUCAUAGGAAAAAAGGAAAAGGAAGAUGGAUGAGGAGGACACUUAUGUGGUAAAAAGUUUCAAACCUUCGAAUUGCGAAAAAGCUAAUAGUACCAAAGACAUUGCCAAAGAUUCCAACAACAAUGGUAAUUUACUACACUUAUUAUCAUUAACUAUUAUGGUACUCAAACUCGGAUGUCAAUGUUUUUAUUUAAUUUGAAAUUGAUUAAGCUGUUGAAAUAUCAUAUGGUAAUAUAUCUUAUUUUAAUUGAAUCUAGAAGAGCUGCAAAUAGUGAAAAGUUGCAAAAAUUGGUGUAAGGAAGAAACUGACAGUGGAAACAAAUACAAAGCUGCCAACAAAAUGGUAAGAAAUUUAGUGCUAUUUUUUUUUAUCAUUUCUAUCUUUAUUUAAAGAAUAAAUGUUGUUAUUUCACUUGAACUGAAAAGAUGAGAACUCUUUCUUUAUAGAAUGUUGGCAAAGAAGUGAUACCAUCAAAAUCAUCAGGUAUUUUCAACUAAACAAACUACUUGAAUUUGGUUUUCCUUAACAAUGAAAAUAAAUUAAAUUAUUAAGCAAAGCUUCUUAAUACAGAACUUAAUCUUGGAAGAAACACUAAUGACGUAAUAGAAAUUUCGAGUGAAGAUACGUCGAUCGAUACUAAUCAAUUAGAUCAGGUCGAAAGCUCAUCUUCCGAGUCUGAUAAUGAAACAACAUUGAAGGAUCAAGGAUCAUGGUGUGAACAGGUUCAUACUUCAUUUCUUUGGUUAUACAUACACCUACAUUCUUUUGGUUUUAUGCAUAUGUUAAUGUUUUUACAUCAUGAUUUUAUUUGAUUAUUGUUCUCAUAGGACGUUAAGGCAUAUUUACUCUCAAGGUUUACAAGCAAGGAGCAUAAACGGCUAGAUAAAUGGCAAAAGAAAUGCGAAAGGAAUGAGUUAAAUGGGUAUGCUGCUAGCUUUGAUGAGUUAAUAUUAGAAUAUGAAGUAAUCAUCAUAAUUUAACCAUAUAAUAAUGUUUAUAUUUCACAGAAAAAUGAUUGGACGAGAUGUAGAGUUUAAAUUGAUGGGUAAUGAAUUGGCACCUUUAUUCAUGGUACCUCAAGAUGAUGAAACUCGAGAAGAGUACUAUAUUAAUGAUUCGGUAAGUAAUUAUCAAAUGUAUAGUGAUCGGGCAUAAAUUAAUUCUGUAAUUCGUAUAUUUGUAUCAUCUUCAUAAUUAUAUUUUGUGUCAUGCAUUAGUUAUCAAGUUGCGUUCAAUGUUAUCAUGUCUUCAAUCUAGUAUGAAACUAAUUGAAGAUAAAUUAAUUAUGUUAAUUUUUUAUGUUAUGAUACAGGUUGUUAACGUUUUCUUCGAAUUGCUUAAGAAGAGAUCUGACAAAUUUCCAAAUGCAUACAUCAAUCACUAUUCAUUUAGCUCUCAUUUAGUUGUAAGAACCUUUAUCUUACCACAAUCUAAUGGUAUUUGGAAUAGAAAUUGUUAUUAUUUUAUAAACAUUAUAUAUAAUGAAUGUAACAUAUAUUUUGGAACCAUCAGACUCAAUUGAUAGAAGGAUUCAAAUCAGAACAUGAAGUAUUAGCUUGGCUUAAAGUUGAGAAGCUAAGGGGUGUACAUAAAGUAAGCUCUCUGAUUUUUUUUUUAAUUUUCCUUGUGGCUUAUAAUUGAGAUUUAAAAUGUGUUUGUGAUCGCAGAUGCUUUUACCAUUGUGCAUAUCAUCCCAUUGGGUUCUUUUAUAUGUUGAUAUCAAGGAAAAAAUAUUUUCAUGGUUGGAUCCAAAUCCGUCUUCUCAAAUACUAUCUUUCCAUUUCGAAAAACCUGUUAAAGUAUUACAGUGCUUUAAAAGCUUUUUACUCCCAAAGCUUGGUUAUAGUGAUGCAAAUGAAUGGCCAUUUGUGGUGCGUAAUGAUAUCCCAAAGCAAAAAAAGUAAGUACUUUUCAUAAUCUACAGCUUUGUAACUUUUUAAUUUACUUGUUAUCUUACAAAUUUGUCUCUUUUUUUUUCAUUUUUUUAUUAUAAUAUGAAGCUCGGUUGAUUGUGCGGUGUUUGUGAUGAAAUACGGUGAUUGUCUUACGCACGGUGAAUGCUUUCCUUUCAAACAAGAAGACAUGGUCCAUUUUCGUCGUCGCAUUUUUCUAGAUAUAUAUCGUGGAAGAUUACAUAGAAAAAAAAAUGAAGAUUGAUGCCUUGUUUAAGAACUCAUAGUCAAAAGGAUGUGAAUUCGAAUUUUUAAAAUUUGAUGGAAAUUAUUGUUUUUUAAUGCAUGCAUGAUACUUUCACUCACACAUUUUGUCAAUUUUAAAGUUGAAUUAUGAUCAUCUUCCAGUACUGUAUUUGAGGACAAUGUUUCAUUAAUUUUUUAUUUUUUAUAUUUUUAAUAUCAUUUUUUUACCCACAUCGUGAAUAUGAAAAAAUGUAGUAUUAACUUUUAUUUAAAUUUAAUUAUAAAAAUAAAAAUACUCAUAUACUCAUAUUUGAAAUAUUUUAAUUUUUAAAAUAGUAAAAUUAACCAUUUUAGGUAGCCUAGACUUGACUCAAAUGAGCUUUCAAUUUUUUUUAGUUCAAUACGACUUUAACUUAUGAAUACCUAUCUAUGUAAGAGAAAAUCAAAUUUAUUUGAAUAAGUAUAAUUAUGACAUUAUGUUUUUAAUUUAUUUAAAUUUAUGAAUAACUGACUUAAAAAAGUUACCUUUCAAUUUUAAUUAUCUUUAUCAAACUAAAAGUAAAAUGUCAAAAUUCUUUUCAUUUAGAGUGUUAUUUCAAAUUUUCAAAUUUUGUUUGUGAUAAUUGUUUCUUAUUUAAUAAUUGUACAGGGUUUGAUAUUGAAUCGAUUAGCUGCACUUGCCGAGAUACAUGACAUAUCAAAAAAUUUAUGUUGUAAAUACAAGCUUUCAUUGGCUUUAACAUGGGCUGCUAAGGAUAACAAUAUGAAUGAAACUAUCUCAGGUCCAAAUAAGAAACAUGCUUUUUCUAUCCAAAGAAAUUCUUGUUAUGUGAAAGAUAGCAAAUCUUUUGAUUUUUGUCUUAUUAUGAAGACACAUUUUGUGGCCCAUUCAUUAUAAAGAAAGAAUUUGAAUCAAGGGACGGCUACCAUUUUGAACCAUCUCUUACUAAGGUAGAAGACUAUAGACAUUCCAGUUUAGAUGAUUAUAACAUAGAUGUUGCUAUUGCCAUCUGUUUACAAAAUCGUCACACAAGUUAUGAAGUUUAUAUCGUAGAAUUUUUUUGGCCUUCAACUGAGAGUGAAAUAUCAAAAUCUAAAGCUCUUCGUAUUUUCGAUGACUUGAAACAUAUGAAGACAACGUUUGUAAUAGUAAAAGUUCAAGUCCCCGAAAUUAAGUUCCAAGAAGGGUCUUAUAACAAGAUGUUGGUGCUGUAACUGAAACUAACAGAUUCAGUGCAAACUUGUCAAGCAAGUCUCGAGACUUGCUGAGCAAACAAGAGAAUUCGAGCAAGAGAAAGAAAGAAAAGUUAAGAAAAAUGAAGAGAAAAAUUGAUGAACAAACUGAACUUCAUUCAUAAAAUUGCAUAAUGGCACAAUGCCAAUACAUAAACCAAGCACUAAGCUUGUCAAAAACAGCAAAUAAUUACCUAAACAUCACCUACCUCCACUAAUGACAUGGAAACUUGAAAUUUUGGCUUGUAAACUUAUACAAAGUUGUGUUUACAGCUCAUACAUAAGCUAAUUACAUCAGUCAACAACCUAACUUAGUUAGAAAUGAACUAAGAUUACAUUUCAUUGACUAGGAAUUACAAAAUAAACACAAUAAGCUUGCAUCAGCAGCUCCUGCAUGACUUGGUCUUCAUGGCCUGCAUGCUGUCGAGUUUGCUGCAUGCUGAACCAACUUCAUCACUCCUCAUUGGUUUGCAUGAAGCAAACACCUAGCUUCUUUCUUAGACAUUCGAACCUUGUGACACUAAGGGCUUUGGUUAAAAUGUCUGCAAGUUGAUCCUCUGAAUUACAGUGGAUCAGCUUUACUUCCUGAGCUUGCUCCAUUUCUCGAACAACAUGCAACUUGAUGCUGAAAUGUUUUGUUCUUCCAUGGAACACUGGAUUUUUAGCAAUUGCUACUGCAGAUUGGUUGUCACAGAAGAUCUCAGUAGCUUCCUCUUGAUGCACAUUCAAGUCAGCCAAUAUUUUCCUUAGCCAUAUGGCUUGGUUGACAGCACUUGCUGUUGCCACAUAUUCUGCUUCAGCAGUAGAUUGAGCUACUAGACUUUGCUUCUUUGAGCUCCAGCAAAACAUGGCUGAACCAAGGUUAAAAGCAUACCCUGAGGUGCUUUUCAUGUCAUCUAUCGAGCCAGCCCAGUCACUAUCAGUGUAGCCAACCAGCUUCAAAUUUCCUUCUUUGCUGUACUUCAAACCAUAGUUUAAAGUGCCUUUGACAUAUCUCAGCACUCUCUUUGCAGCUUGGAAAUGCUUCUCAUUACAGCAAUGCAAGAACCUUGAGAGCAAUCCUACAGCAUACAUGAUGUCUGGUCUAGUGGCAGUCAAGUAUAGCAAGCAACCAACUAGACUCCUAUAGGUUGUUUCACAAACUUUCUCAAAAUCACCUUGGCUCGAUAGUUUUUCUCCAACAGCAACAGGUGUUUUAGUUGCCUUGCUGUUUUGCAUGGAUAACUUGGUCAUAAUCUUUGUGGCAAAGCUUCUCUGGCUUAGAAAUAUCUCAUUCUGUACUUGAGACACCUCCAUUCCAAGAAAAUAAGAUAUCUCCCCAAGAUCAGACAUUUCAAACACUUCCUGCAUCUUGGUCUUGAAAUCAGCCAGCACUACUCGAGCUCCUCCUGUCACCAGAAGGUCAUCAACAUACAGGGACACAAUGAGUUGUAUUUGUGUCCCUUGUUUCUUGACAUACAGUGUUGGCUCACUCUUACUUCGAUCAAAUCCCAGAUCAGUCAAGUAGCCAUCGAUUCUGCUAUACCAAGCCCUUGGAGCCUGUUUUAAUCCAUAUAGGGCCUUCUUCAGUUUGUAGACCAUAUGCUCUCUGCCAGCUAUUUCAAACCCUUGUGGUUGUUCAACAUAGAUGUCUUCAUCUAAGAAACCAUUCAGAAAGGCUGAUUUCACAUCAAGUUGAUAGAUUUUCCAUUCGAGCUGUGCUGCUAAGGCAAUCAGCAGUCUGAUGGUGUCGAGCCUGGCCACUGGUGCAAAGGUCUCCAGGUAGUCCAGGCCAUACCUCUGACUGAACCCCUUGACAACUAGCCUUGCUUUCAGUUUGUUCAAGGUUCCAUCAGCAUUGUGCUUGACUUUGUACACCCAUUUCACCCCAAUCACCUUCCUUUUGACUGGCCUUUCAACCAAUUCCUAGGUCUGGUUCUUCUCAAUCAUGCUGAUCUCCUCAGCCAUUGCCUGCUUCCACCCUUGCUGAGCCUCAGCCUCUUCAAAGUUGCUUGGUUCAGCUAUGGCUACAUGAGCCCUUUCAUAAAUCUCAGCCAAUGACCUUGUUCCUCUGACUGGUUCAUCAUCAAUAUCCAUUUCAGGGACAUUUUGGUCUGGCUCAGCUUGGUCUGCUGCAAGUUCUGCAGAAACUUCUUCAGGUUCAUGUCUUUCCCAGUUCCAACAUGACCUCUCAUCAAAUACCACAUCCCUGCUUACUGACACUUUGUUUGUUGAAGGAUCUAAAAUCCUAUAACCCUUCUUAACAGUGCUGUAGCCCACCAAAACACCAGGUCGAGCCCUUUAAGACAAUUUGUCCCUUUUAACAGCAGGUACAUGUGCAUAACAGAUGCAUCCAAAGACCUUCAGAUGAGCCAGUGAUGGCUUGAAGCUAAACCAGGCCUCGAAUGGGGUCUUUUGAUCCAAAGCCUUGGUUGGAAGUCUAUUUUGAAUGUAUGUUGCAGUGUUAACUGCUUCUGCCCAUAGUGCUUUAGGCAGAUUCUUCUGAAUCAUCAAGCACCUGGCCAUAUCCAUCAAACUCCUAUUCUUCCUUUCACUUACCCCAUUCUGCUGAGGUGUAUAUGUGUUGGUAAGUUGAUGUUUGAUGCCUGCCUUAUCACAAAAGGCUUGGAACUGAGCUGAGGUGUACUCAGUCCCAUUAUCAGACCUUAUAGUCUUCACCUUGCAGCCUGUUUCUGUCUCAGCAGCAGUUUUAAACUUCCGAAACACAGUGGUCACCUUUGAUUUCUGUUUUAAGAAGUAAAUCCAGCAAUAUCUCGAGAAAUCAUCAAUGAACAGUAUAAAAUACCUGUUUCCACUUAUGACUCAGUCUUCAUAGGGCCACACACAUCAGUAUGCACCAGUUGGAGUUUUUCAGAGGCUCUCCAGGCUUGAUUCGAGGGAAAUGGAAGUCUGGCCUGCUUUCCUAGCUGACAUACUUCACAUACAUCAUCAUGGUCCACUGAGUUGAUGAAAUUUUCAGCCAGGUCCUCUCUGACCAUUCGGGCCAUCGAUCUGAAGUUGGCAUGUCCCAGUCUUUGAUGCCACAGCUUGGAUUCAUCUGAAGUGGCUGUGUAGGCAAUGUCUGACUUUUUUGUCCAGUCAACCACAAAGCUCUUAUCAGCCAUAGGGACUGCCAUCAGUUUGGAUCCACUUGGAUCACUGAUUUGGCACUGGUGGUCUUUAAACACAACUGAAUAACCUUUUUCCAGCAACUGAGCUAUGUUGAGCAGGUUUCUGUCAAUUUCAGGCACCAACAGCACAUUUGAAAUUACUUUGCUACCUGUAAGGGUGCAUAUCAGCACAUCACCCCUGCCUUCAGCUUGAAUAAAAUGACCAUUUCCUAUCUUGACUUUAGUUCUGCAGCUUCUGUCUAAAGACUUGAAGAUUGCAGCAUCAGGUGUCAUGUGGUUGGUGCAUCCACUGUCUAGGAGCCAACCAGAUGAGGACCUUUCCUGAGCAGCUGAGCAUGACACAGCAAAGACUUGCUCCUCUUGGUCACUGUCCUCCUUAGCUACUCGAGCCUCAGCUUUCAUCUGUUGAAACUGAUUCUGCCUCGAUUUGGUCUUACUCUUGCAGACUCUCUCAACAUGACCCUUCUUUUUACAAUGCUGACAUACAGCAUCUGGAUUGAACCAGUAUUUUUCUUUUGGAUGACCAGCCCUUCUGCAGUGCUUGCAAGUCUGACCCUCUUUUCUUGCAACAUCAGUCCUUGGCUUGUCUCUCCAGGCCUUCUUGCCUUUGUAGGCAGUGUUUGUUCUUGCCUGAAAGGCACAUUCUUGAUGCUCAUCCAGUCUGCUUGCUCUUCUUUGCUCUUGAGCAUAUAAAGCAUUGAUCAACUCUGUCAGGGAGAUGGUGUACAGGUCCCUUGAGUCCUCGAGAGAUGAGAUUUUUUCCUCAUACCUCUCGGGCAGAGUUGCAAUAACCUUCUCCACUAUCCUAGCUUCCUUGAGCUGCUCUCCAAGGAGCCUAAUGCUGUUAACUACAGUCAUAAUCCUGUCAGAGUACUGCUUGAUAGUUUCUUCUUCCUUCAUCUUCAAAUUCUCGAAAUCUCUCCUUAAGUUCAGCAACUGUUGCUGCCUUGUCCUCUCUGUCCCUUGAAACUCCUCUUGCAACUUAUCCCAGGCUUGUUUUGGUGAUCACAGGCCAUAAUCCUUGUGAAAAUCACAUCUGACACUGAGUUCUGGAUGCAAGACAUGGCUUUGUGCCUCUUGGUCCUCUCAUCAGCAUACUGCCUGAUUUGAGCCACUGUUGGAUUACCUCUAAGUGGCUCUGGUUCAACAUCUGAGUUGACUACCUCCCACAGAUCGAAAGCUUGUAGGUAGGUCUUCAUUUUAACCACCCAUAUGUGGUAGCCUUCUCCAUUGAAGACUUGAGGUGCAGCUGGUGAAAAGCUUGAUGAAGCCAUGAAUUUGUAUAACAGAUCCCUUAAGAAAUAGGCUCUUGAUACCAAUUGUUGGAGCUAAGUGCAACAAAUAGCAAUGUUCAACAAAAAGCUUGCCGAGCAAGAAUCGAGACUUGCGGCAGAAACAAAGAAGAAAAAUGAAAUAAAUUUUAAGCAAAGCUAAAAUAGAGAGUAUAUGGAUGAAAUCUUGAUUGAAUUCAUUCAUCUUUUUUUAAAAUGGCAUAAAGCCUAUUUAUACAAGCUUACAACUUGACAACUUAGUUGGAAUACAACUAAGUUUCAUCAUUACAUCCACUUAAAAUAAAUCACCACUUACUACCACUAACAAACUUAGUUGGAAUACAACUAAGUUUCAUCAUUACAUCCACUUAAAAUAAAUCACCACCUACUACCACUAACAAACUUAGUUGGAAUACAACUAAGUUACAUCAUUACAUCCAAAUAAUAAUAAUAAUAAUAAUAAUAAUAAUAAUAAUAAUAAUAAAACAUGUGAUUACUACAUGCUAACCAUUACUUCAAUAGAAUCCAUUGAAUAUGUCACUAAAACAACACAUGGGAGACUAAAAUUCCAAGAAGCUGUAGAUCAAGUGAAGCUACAAGGUGGGAAAUCAUUGGAUGAUCUUUCUUUCAAGUUGGAAUCAGAAUUUGACAUACUUACUAGUGCUUUGAAAUCAAGAGAAAUCUUUUGUCAGUUGGAGCAAAUUGAUGGCAAUUUUAAGCUAAACCCAUCAAUGGAGGAAUGGGAGAAGGCCAUAGCUCUAAAGAGUUGUUUGAAAUGUUUUAAUGAUAUCAAAGGAACUCAAUCCAUUACUGUAAGUUUGUACUUUCCAAUGCUUUGUGACAUAUACAAGAAAUUUCUUCAGCUGGAAAAAAGCAAUCAUUCAUUUCUUACAUUGAUGAAGAGGAAAUUUGAUCGCUAUUGGAGCUUAUGUAAUUUGGAAUUAGCUGUUGCAGCUGUUCUUGAUCCAAGGUUAAAAUUUAAAAUUGUGGAGCUCUCAUAUAAUUUGAUUUAUGGCCAUGACAAUAAGAUGCAACUGAACCGGUUUUAUAAAGUUCUUACAGAUGUUUACUGUAAAUAUACCAAUGGAGCUAGAAAUUCGAUUGCAUCCACUUCAAUAUUGGGUGAUUCCAAUUCUUUGACAACAGAGACUGCAAAUGAUUGUAUUUUGGACUCCUUCAAUAACUUUUUACCCUCAUGGAAGUCAGAGCUUGAGGAUUACUUAGGUGAGUCAGAGCCUGCACUUCCCUUAGAUGGAGACAUACUUGGUUGGUGGCGUGUCAAUUCCCUAAGGCUCCCUACUCUUGCAAAGAUGGCUCGUGAUCACCUUGCAAUGUUGGUAUCAGUUUCGAUGCCAUGUUCGGUUGUUAGUGCCAUGAUCACACAUUCAAGCUACAAUAGUUUGGACCCUGAUAGCAUGGAAGCUUUGGUAUGCAGUCAAAAUUGGUUGGAAACUCUUAAAGAAAGUAAGUCAUAACUCUUAAUUUGUUUAUCUGCUUUCAUUUGAUCUUCUACACUUCACUGAGAGAGUCCAAUAUAUUUUUUAAAGCUGCAUUAUUCAUCACUUAACUAAGUUCAUUUACUAUCACAGAUGAGGGAGAAAAUCAUGAACUUACACAAAAUACGGUAGGCAGUGUACAUGAAUUAUGAUUAGAAGCUAUCUCCAUUGAAUCUUUUUUUCAUACACCAUGAAGACUGAACUCCCUUGAUGCAUUUUCAUUUCAUAGGAAAAAAGGAAAAGGAAGAUGGAUGAGGAGGACAAUUAUGUGGUAAAAAGUUUCAAACCUUCGAAUUGCGAAAAAGCUAAUAGUACCAAAGACAUUGCCAAAGAUUCCAACAACAAUGGUAAUUUACUACACUUAUUAUCAUUAACUAUUAUGGUACUCAAACUCGGAUGUCAAUGUUUUUAUUUAAUUUGAAAUUGAUUAAGCUGUUGAAAUAUCAUAUGGUAAUAUAUCUUAUUUUAAUUGAAUCUAGAAGAGCUGCAAAUAGUGAAAAGUUGCAAAAAUUGGUGUAAGGAAGAAACUGACAGUGGAAACAAAUACAAAGCUGCCAACAAAAUGGUAAGAAAUUUAGUGCUAUUUUUUUUUAUCAUUUCUAUCUUUAUUUAAAGAAUAAAUGUUGUUAUUUCACUUGAACUAAAAAGAUGAGAACUCUUUCUUUAUAGAAUGUUGGCAAAGAAGUGAUACCAUCAAAAUCAUCAGGUAUUUUCAACUAAACAAACUACUUGAAUUUGGUUUUCCUUAACAAUGAAAAUAAAUUAAAUUAUUAAGCAAAGCUUCUUAAUACAGAACUUAAUCUUGGAAGAAACACUAAUGACGUAAUAGAAAUUUCGAGUGAAGAUACGUCGAUCGAUACUAAUCAAUUAGAUCAGGUCGAAAGCUCAUCUUCCGAGUCUGAUAAUGAAACAACAUUGAAGGAUCAAGGAUCAUGGUGUGAACAGGUUCAUACUUCAUUUCUUUGGUUAUACAUACACCUACAUUCUUUUGGUUUUAUGCAUAUGUUAAUGUUUUUACAUCAUGAUUUUAUUUGAUUAUUGUUCUUAUAGGACGUUAAGGCAUAUUUACUCUCAAGGUUUACAAGCAAGGAGCAUAAACGGCUAGAUAAAUGGCAAAAGAAAUGUGAAAGGAAUGAGUUAAAUGGGUAUGUUGCUAGCUUUGAUGAGUUAAUAUUUGAAUAUGAAGUGAUCAUCAUAAUUUAACUAUAUAACAAUGUUUAUAUUUUACAGAAAAAUGAUUGGACGAGAUGUAGAGUUUAAAUUGAUGGGUAACGAAUUGGCACCUUUAUUCAUGGUACCUCAAGAUGAUGAAACUCGAGAAGAGUACUAUAUUAAUGAUUCGGUAAGUAAUUAUCAAAUGUAUAGUGGUCGGGCAUAAAUUAAUUUAGUAAUUCGUAUAUUUGUAUCAUCUUCAUAAUUAUAUUUUGUGUCAUGCAUUAGUUAUCAAGUUGCGUUCAAUGUUAUCAUGUCUACAAUCUAGUAUGAAACUAAUUAAAGAUAAAUCAAUGAUGUUAAUUUUUUAUGUGAUGAUACAGGUUGUUAACGUUUUCUUCGAAUUGCUUAAGAAGAGAUCCGACGAAUUUCCAAAUGCAUACAUCAAUCACUAUUCAUUCAGCUCUCAUUUAGUUGUAAGAACCUAUAUCUUGCCAAAAUCUAUUGGUAUUUAGAAUUGAAAUUGUUAUUAUUUUAUAAGCAUUAUAUAUAAUGAAAGUAACAUAUAUUUUGCAACCAUCAGACUCAAUUGAUAGAAGGAUUGAAAUCAGAACAUGAAGUAUUAGCUUGGUUUAAAGUUGAGAAGCUAAGGGGUGUACAUAAAGUAAGCUCUCUGAUUUUUUUAUUUUUUUUAAUUUUCCUUUUAGCUUUUAAUUGAGAUUUAAAAUGUGUUUGUGAUCGCAGAUGUUUUUACCAUUGUGCAUAUCAUCACAUUGGGUUCUUUUAUAUGUUGAUAUCAAGGAAAAAUAUUUUCAUGGUUGGAUCCAGAUCCGUCUUCUCAAAUACUAUCUUACCAUUUCGAAAAACCUGUUAAAGUAUUACAGUGCUUUAAAAGCUUUUUACUCCCAAAGCUUGGUUAUAGUGAUGCAAAUGAAUGGCCAUUUGUGGUGCGUAAUAAUAUCCCAAAGCAAAAAAAGUAAGUACUUUUCAUAAUCUACAGCUUUGUAACUUUUUAUUUACUUGUUAUCUUACAAAUUUGUCUCUUUUUUUCAUUUUUUUACUAUAAUGUGAAGCUCGGUUGAUUGUGCGGUGUUUGUGAUGAAAUACGGUGAUUGUCUUACGCACGGUGAAUGCUUUCCUUUCAAACAAGAAGACAUGGUCCAUUUUCGUCGUCGCAUUUUUCUUGAUAUAUAUCGUGAAAGAUUACAUAGAAAAAAUAAAGAUUGAUGCCUUGUUUAAGAACUCAAAGUCAAAAGGAUGUGAAUUCAAAUUUUUGAAAUUUGAUGGAAAUUAUUGUUUUUUAAUGCAUGCAUGAUACUUUUACUCACACAUUUUGUCAAUUUUAAAGUUGAAUUACGAUCAUCUUCUACCGAAUUUGAGGACAAUAUUUCAUUACUUUUUUAUUUUUUAUAUUUUUAAUAUCAUUUUUUUUAACCACAUCAUGAAUAUGAUAAAUAUAGUAUUUUUAAAUUUAAUUCUACUCCAACAUAUUUAAGUUGAUUAAGUAUAUUUGUUUAGUUCCUCUCAAAUAUCAAUAAUUCAAUUUAAAUCAUUUUAUUUUAGAGUCUAAAAUAAUUUCAUUUUUCUUAUAUAUUUAAAAAAAAUCAAAUCAACAAUUUAAUAAAAUAGACUUUUAAAUAAUUUUAUAUUAUAUCAACCAAAUUAUAUAUAUAUAUAUAUAUAUAUAUCUUACAUUCCAUUCAAAUUAACCAAACAAAAAAUAGAACACUUGAUAUUAUACUAAAUAAUCAUACAUUCUAAUAAAAUUUAGAGCAAACUAUUUGGGUGGUCACCCAAUUUAAGGUACGUUCUAUUUUAGUCACUCAACUUUAAAAAUUUUUAAUUUCAUCACUAAAAUUUUUAAAUUUUAAAAUUUUAGUCACCCACAGUUAAAUACUUCACGGAAAGCUAAUGCGGGCAUGUUUUUAUUGAUCUAAUAACAAAUUUAGCCCUUCAAUAUUUAUAUAUUUUAUUAAUUUGAUCCUAAAUUUGAAAUUUUAACAAAUUUAACGUUCAAUGUUUACAAAAAAUUUUAUUUAGUUCUAAUUUUAAAAAAAAAUUCAAUUAAGUUAGCCCUGAAUAUUUACAAAAUUUAUCAAUUUAAUUUUAAUUCGAAAAUUUUAAAAGAAGAAAAAAUAUUUCAAAAGUUCAAAAUAUGUAUGGAAGUUCAAAAAUUUCCAUACGUUACCCAAGAGGAAAGCUUCAUUAAACUUAACGUUAUGAUGAUAGAAGGGUUUAGACUACCUAUCUUUUUAGCUUUUGCUUGUUGAAUAAAAAUCUGAGUGAUUUGUAUUUUGAGUGUCGAGGGCCGAUCAUAACAAUUUUUUUAAAUAUUUUUCUUCUUUUAAAUUUUUUGAAUUAAAAUUAAGAUUAACAAAUUUUAUAAAUGUUCAGGGCUAAUUUUAUUAGUUUUUUUAGAAUUAGAAUUAAAUGAAAAUUUUUGUAAACAUUGAGCGCUAAAUUUGUUGAAUUUUUACAUUUAGGAUCAAAUUAAUAAUGUGCAAACAUUGGAGGGCUUAAUUAUUAUUAAACCAAUAAAAAUAGGCCUGCUUUAGCUUUCCGUUAAGUAUUUAACUGUGGUGACUAAAAUUUUAAAUUUUGAAAAUAUUGAUGAUGAAAUUGAAAGUUUUUAAAGUUAAGUGACUAAAAUAAAACCUACACUAAAAUUGGAUGACCACCUAAGUAAUUUACCCUAAUUUUGUUAAGGUAGCCAGAUAUUAUGUGAACCAAAUAGACACUUAGAAGUAAGGUAAUCAAGCCUCUUAAUAGUGUUGGGUUUGGGACGAGCCUAUGUAAUGUUUGAAUACCAUAUAUAGUUAGUCAAAUUUAACUUGAUUUGAAAUAUAAGCCUCAAAAUUUACUUAAAUUCACUUAUAUUUAUAAAUAAUUAGUCCGAACCAUUUAAUCCGUC
This 20276-nucleotide long non-coding RNA is filed under the name Gossypium barbadense (sea-island cotton). Its description in RNAcentral is "long non-coding RNA (GBAR_LNC023056)". Lineage: Eukaryota; Viridiplantae; Streptophyta; Magnoliopsida; Malvales; Malvaceae. The record is from RNAcentral.